RNAcentral lists this ribosomal RNA (88 nucleotides) under Sus scrofa (pig). The record is from RNAcentral. Lineage: Eukaryota; Metazoa; Chordata; Mammalia; Artiodactyla; Suidae.
GACUAUGACCAUACCAGCCUGAAGACACCCAGUCUCGGAAGCUAAGUGGGGUCCGGCCUGGUUAGUACUUGGAUGGGAGAUAUAAUUU